UACAGAGGUCCCGAGCGUUGUUCGGAUUCACUGGGCGUAAAGGGUGCGUAGGUGGUGAGGUAAGUCGGAUGUGAAAUCUCCAGGCUCAACCUGGAAACUGCAUUGGAAACUACCUUGCUGGAGGAUUUGAGGGGGGAUUGGAAUACUUGGUGUAGCAGUGAAAUGCGUAGAUAUCAAGUGGAACACCAGUGGCGAAGGCGACUACCUGGCCUGUUCUUGACGCUGAGGCGCGAAAGCUAGGGGAGCAAACGGG
RNAcentral lists this ribosomal RNA (253 nucleotides) under uncultured bacterium. RNAcentral describes it as "partial 16S ribosomal RNA". It matches the Rfam family "Bacterial small subunit ribosomal RNA", at positions 524 to 776 of the family's 1533-position model. The record is from RNAcentral.